GACGAACGCUGGCGGCGUGCUUAACACAUGCGAGUCGAACGGAAAGGCCCUUCGGGGUACUCAAGUGGCGAACGGGUGAGUAACACGUGGGUGAUCUGCCCUGCACUUUGGGAUAAGCCUGGGAGACUGGGUCUAAUACCGAAUAGGACCACGCGCUUCAUGGUGUGUGGUGGAAAGCUUUUGCGGUGUGGGAUGGGCCCGCGGCCUAUCAGCUUGUUGGUGGGGUAAUGGCCUACCAAGGCGACGACGGGUAGCCGGCCUGAGAGGGUGACCGGCCACACUGGGACUGAGAUACGGCCCAGACUCCUACGGGAGGCAGCAGUGGGGAAUAUUGCACAAUGGGCGCAAGCCUGAUGCAGCGACGCCGCGUGAGGGAUGACGGCCUUCGGGUUGUAAACCUCUUUCAAUAGGGACGAAGCGCAAGUGACGGUACCUAUAGAAGAAGCACCGGCCAACUACGUG
This 462-nucleotide ribosomal RNA is filed under the name uncultured bacterium. RNAcentral's name for it is "partial 16S ribosomal RNA". It matches the Rfam family "Bacterial small subunit ribosomal RNA", at positions 28 to 507 of the family's 1533-position model. The record is from RNAcentral.